This is a long non-coding RNA of Aethalodelphis obliquidens (Pacific white-sided dolphin), 3575 nucleotides long. RefSeq lists it as uncharacterized. The record is from RefSeq and is a predicted model, not a curated record. Lineage: Eukaryota; Metazoa; Chordata; Mammalia; Artiodactyla; Delphinidae. The transcript has 4 exons.
GCCGGGCCCGUACACCAGCGCAUGGCUCCGGCCCACGCUCUGCGGGAAGCGGCAGUCGUAAUAGGCCGGCUCCAGGGACUCGCCGCCUUUGUACUUGGAGAACAGGGGGUUGACGAACCCGGGCGAAUUCCUCAAUUCCUCAGACUCCCGGCGGUGGCGGCGCUUACACGCGAUUCGCGUUCAUCAAUCCACGACAUGAAGACAGGCGAGAGGGAGAGAGGGAGAGAGGGAGAGAGGGAGAGGGGGAGAGUGGGGGGCGGGGGGUAGAGGGAGAGAGACAGAGAGAGAGAGAUACCUGAGCCAGCAGGUCAACUCAGGUUACCUCAACAGGUAUAAGACCCCCCCGAGGGGUUGAAUGCCAACAAGAAAGUUGCUCCCCUAACCCCCAAAGAUGGGCUCCCCAGGGGCGUCCUUAAGUCUGGGGACUCUGAGGAAGAACAAGCACAUCAUAUCCCCAAACACUUCAGGCAUCAGAACCCUCCAUGACUCUUGCCCCUCUCCAGGGUGGGAAGCUGCCCUGUCUUCCCUAGAUCCUUUUCUCUUGCCUGCCUGCGUGCUGUGGGUAGUGGAGAGGGCCAGAGGCCGGGGGCACUCCAUAUACCCAGUCAGGGCUGCACUGACCCUUCAGACACCAGCUCCUGCCUGGGCUUGCCACGAGCUUGCUGGAGAGCAAAGCUGCUGGUGGGGACAGAGAAGGAGAGGGCAGCUGGUGGGUCCCUGGCUUCUGGCUGGGCUGAUCCAGGAGGUUUCUUCUUGGGAGACCCGUUGUAUCUGGGUUGGAGGAGACUAGAGCAGGCCUCUUAGCUGUCCCCACAUACCCUAACCCCAUAGGAAAUGCCAGUUCAGCUAGGAGGGGCCCCCUGGCUUCACCACACACACACCCCUACACUUCCCCAGGCAGGCUGCCCAGGCCAGGAUGUGGAUGGGAACUGUCAACAGACACUCUUUAAAUAUUUACCCACACUUUCUCUGGGGGGCUUCCCCCAUCCCCAAGACUGGGUAAAUUCAAGUUAAUUCUAAUGGAUAAAGGAACCUUAUUCCAUCAGCACCCUUUCCUGGCCAUAAGCAUGUACAAUUAUGUGGACUUCACCCAGACAGAGAGAAAAGGAGAAAGUCUGAGAGCUGUGGAUAUGUGCGCUGUGUGCAGGUGAAUGAAGAAGAGCAAUAAGAAUGAUUUUUCCGGUCCUCCCCCCUCCACAGUGUGUGAGGUUCUCAUACACAGGGCAACGUGGGGCCAUACUCGGGAUCCACACGUACUAUAUGUGCUACCUUCCAUUCUGAAAAACAUCAAAUGCAUGCUCACUCAGCUAUCACGCAUGCCAGGAAGCACCCCUGUCACCUCACAGACACUGUGCACACACACGCACAUCCGGGCACAUAUGAAAAUAAGACCUGAUCAACACACAUGCAGCUUUAGCCCUUUGCAUCAUGAAAAAAAAUUGCUACCUGUUUUCCUUCCACAUCCUGGGGUUUCAGGGCUGGAUGAGGUAGGAGGCGGUUAGAAAACCAGAUCUUUUUCUUCCCCAUCCAGAGCCCAGCUCUGGGGAUGGAGGAAGAAAUGAAAGUGCAGGGGAGGAUGGUGUAGAGAGAAUGAGCUUCCCCCUUUUGUAUCUAAAUAAUUGCUGAGGAAAUGGCCACUCUCAGCCAAAUUCCCAAAGGACAGUCACUGGUGGCCCAGCAAGAGACGCUUCCAGGAUCCCCUGAAUUUGGAAGAACCUACCCCCGUCUGACUUAGGGACCGCCCAAACUCUGUGACACCCAGAACUCUGGCCCUGGAGCAGCAGGAGGGGAGGGUCAGCGGAGGGCCGUGCCAGGGCUGCAGGCCUCCCCAGGGUCCAGGGCAGUAGAGGGCAUGACAGAGGUCUCCUCCACUACCAGAGCACUCCGCAGCCUUGGUUCUGGCCCUGCCUUUUCUGAGCCUGUUCUGUGGCUACUGAGCUGAACGAGACAGACUCUGGGCUCCCAGCUUCUAGGUCACUGGGGACUGUCAUAAAUACUUUCUCCUCCCCUCCUGGAAAGAGGAGGCUGGGCAGGCCGGAUCCGCUCUGGGGCCUGCGCCUUAUCUUUUAGGGGCUGGGAGGAUAUCUCGACACUUUAUGGUCCAGCGAAAACCCUGCCACAGAGCUAGUCUUCCGGGCCUUUGUGUCCUGGAAUGCGACUGUCCCGAGUGUGCUGCCAGCACCGUCUGCUCCGAGAGCCCACCAGUCCCGAAAUCCCUGGUUGGACUUGGUUUCCCCUUUCGGGAUGGAGCGGGGGGCGUCCCUCGCCUUUUCUUUCUUUCGUUCAUUUGAUUGUUUUUUUUCUUUUACACGUAUCUGGUUGAUUUCGCUCCGGGAGCCUGGAAAUAAAGGAACCGCAAGCAGCCAUCCUUGCUGGGGCGUCUCUGUCCCUCGACCCCCAUCCUUGCUGGGGCGUCUCUGUCCCUCGCCCCGAGGCCUGCACCGCCCUCCUAGGUGAGAGGAUUGAUUUGCUCAGAGCCAGAGAGGCCGGGCUGGGCCGGGGCGCCGGGCCUUCUCGUCGCUGCUCCUCGGGGCCGGGCCUCAAACGUCAGUGCGGCCAGGCCGGCCGGGGGCACCGCCGCCGCCUCUAACAUUGAGCAACAGCGCCACCUCGCGUCCACUUACUCCAAUGCAGUCCAGCCGGGAAAAAGCCAACAGCUUAGAGCAAGCAGGUCCUCAGGCUUGACCCAAAGGUGGGAGGUGGGAGGAAGGAGUUUCCAAAUGGGUGCGCGUGAGAGGGGUCCCCGGAAGGGAUUUCCCUCCGGACCGCUGCUCUUUUGUUUUCUAAAUUCUCGAAAUAAACCUUGUCAAAGGUUUCAUACUAUUUUCUCUUUCUGUCACCCUCCCUUCUCGCAUUAAGAGACACUGUGCAAAGGAACUGCCGCGAUUUCCCUCGCGUUCAGGCGCAUUUCUGGCCUCGGAACACCUCCGCGCACGCAGAUGCACGCGCCGAAGCUCCCGCGACCGCCCGCCCGCGGCGCGCACCCUAAACUCCUCGCUCCUCUUACCCUGCCGCUGGCUCCGCACCGCCUAUUCCGCUGCCGCCUGCAGGACUUUGGGGUGGGAUUCUGACUUCUCCUGGCUCUUUGCCCCCUGGUUUGUAGCCCAUCCCUCUCUCUCACGCGCGCGCUCUCUCCACCUCUCCCUCCCAGCCAGUGAGGUCCUGUUCUCCGUGGACCAUAGACAAAACAUUCCUAUAAUCCGAUUUCAAAGGAAAGAGUGUCCACCUUAUUUAAACCAUAAAACAAUUAAGCCCAGACGUCUAGCCAGCUCCGCGCUGCUGUUUUGUUCGGCCCCAUUCAGAAUCCAGCGCAGGGAGACAAACAGCGCCAUAAAAGAGGCAUUUCGGGGCCGCGGAAAUGUACCUAUCCUCUGCCUUCCCAAGUGGAACAACAUUUAGGGUUUUGUGAUUCUGACAAAGGAGCAGAGGAGAGGUGGGAGGAGAAGAUUAGGGCAGGGGGGCGUUUGCAAGCCCCUCUUUCCUCCCCAGCUUUCGUUUCUUUCCCCAGAUGUGUGUUGUGUUGUUGUAGUUUGAGUUCACAAAUGACAAUAAAUAAAACUAGAAUCCAAUCCUGA